CUUCAUGGCGGCUGUGCGCAGGGCACCUUCGGGUGCGCCGGGUUCCACUAGCCGGUCGACUAACCUGCGUACAGCCGCCACCCUC
RNAcentral lists this non-coding RNA (85 nucleotides) under Pseudomonas yamanorum. The record is from RNAcentral. Lineage: Bacteria; Pseudomonadati; Pseudomonadota; Gammaproteobacteria; Pseudomonadales; Pseudomonadaceae.